CUAAGGUGUAAAAGAAGGGGAAAAAAAUAUAUGUGAAUGGUACUGGAAUAGCAUCAGACAUCUUCCAAAGGCUCCAAAGAAAAUACAGAAAGAAAAACAGAAAUAGUAGACUAUUUUCGAACAGAAAAUGUGUUCUAGUUAAAUGCAGCAUUGACAUCACAAUGGUCAACUGAAUUUUAUGUACAAGGCGCUUUACACAUGAUGACGUCAUAAUGUAGAGAUUUCAGAUCCCAACACAGAAAACAUGUUGAAAGUAAGCACCUCGAAAAUAUCUGAGAGGCAAUCAGUUACUUUCUUAGACCAUGAAUCUACUGCUGCUAGCCCACCAACGGGACCACCUCCAUCUGAAGCUACUGAAGCUAUUGAGGUAGAGACUCCUUCUGAAAGUUAUCAGAUAAGUGACAUACAGAUAGAGAUAGAUGAGGAGACUUUCUCGCUUGAAGAUGUUGAAUC
This is a long non-coding RNA of Octopus sinensis (East Asian common octopus), 453 nucleotides long. RefSeq lists it as uncharacterized. The record is from RefSeq and is a predicted model, not a curated record. The transcript is spliced from 4 exons. Lineage: Eukaryota; Metazoa; Mollusca; Cephalopoda; Octopoda; Octopodidae.